UGCUUUGUGGGCUGGUGCUGUGGCCGGGCCCACAGGCAGCCUCUCUCUCCGCAGAGCCUUCCCGCUGGCGAGACCCAAGCAAAAACACCUGGAGCCGUUCCCAGCCUCACCGAGCUACAGAGAAACGAGGCGUCUGAGGCCUCGGUGUGUCAGUGUGCGGGCGCUGGUCCAUUCCUUUCCUCCCAGGAGGAAGGAAGGGUGGUCUGGUGGGCUGGCUGGACCAUUCAGGGAUUCUUGGAGCAAGAUGAAGGGCAGCAAGGCUGAGCACAGGACACCUCUGUUCCUGGGGAUGUGCUGCUCUUGGACAGAAACGACCGGUCUGGGAGGAUGCCUGCUUGUGACUGGACACCCACUGACAGCUGGACACCCCCUCUGCCAGAUCUUCUCUGCUGGGAUCAGCCUUUCCUCUGACCCAGGUACACUGCUUAUUUCCAAGGCCCAGUCCUGGAGUGGAAGGAUUCCCAUGGGAAAGGAAAGGGCCUGGCAUGGUCUGAGAAAAAAGAGCCCAGCCUGGCCAUGGCUGGGCCCAAAGUGGAGAUAAAGAAUGAACAGAUAAACAACAGAG
This is a long non-coding RNA of Apus apus (common swift), 565 nucleotides long. RefSeq lists it as uncharacterized. The transcript has 3 exons. The record is from RefSeq and is a predicted model, not a curated record. Lineage: Eukaryota; Metazoa; Chordata; Aves; Apodiformes; Apodidae.